Molecule: ribosomal RNA, 642 nt
Filed under: uncultured Thermoplasmatales archaeon
Lineage: Archaea; Methanobacteriati; Thermoplasmatota; Thermoplasmata; Thermoplasmatales
Description: bacterial SSU rRNA
Rfam family: Archaeal small subunit ribosomal RNA
Source: RNAcentral
GAGUCGCGAGUCUUAGGGACUCGGCGUACCGCUCAGUAACACGUGGGUAACCUGCCCUAUGCUGGGGAAUAACCUCGGGAAACUGAGAAUAAUGCCCCAUAGUUCACCACGCCUGGAACGGUGGGUGGAUGAAAGCUCCGGCGGCAUAGGAUGGGCCUGCGGCGUAUCAGGUUGUAGGGGGUGUAACGUACCCUCUAGCCCUCUACGCGUACGGGUGUUGGGAGACAUAGCCCGGAGAUGGAUUCUGAGACACGAAUCCAGACCCUACGGGGUGCAGCAGGCGCGAAAACUUGGCAAUGCGAGAAAUCGUGACCAGGGAACUCCAAGUGCAUCGGGUAAGACCGGUGCUUUUCUUGACUCUAAAUAGGUCUUGGAAUAAGGGGUGGGUAAGGACGGUGCCAGCCGCCGCGGUAAUACCGGCGCCUCAAGUGGUAGUCGCUUUUAUUGGGCCUAAAACGUCCGUAGCCGGUCUGAUACAUUCGUGGGUAAAUCAACCAGCUCAACUGGUUGAAUUCUGCGAGGACGGUCAGACUUGGGACCGGGAGAGGUGUGGGGUACGCUCAGGGUAGGGGUAAAAUCCCUGUCAUCCUGAGCGGACCACCUGUUGCGAAAGGCGCCACACUAGAACGGAUCCGACGGUCA